UUCCGGUUGAUCCUGCCAGAGGCUACUGCUAUCGGGGUCCGACUAAGCCAUGCGAGUUGAGAGGGGUAAGCCCUCGGCAUAUUGCUCAGUAACACGCGGGUAACCUGCCCUUGGGUUUGGGAUAACCCCGGGAAACUGGGACUAAUACCGGAUAGAUCAAAGAAACUGGAAUGUUCUCUGAUCGAAAGCUCCGGCGCCCAAGGAUGGGUCUGCGGCCUAUCAGGUAGUAGUGGGUGUAACGUACCUACUAGCCUACGACGGGUAAGGGUUGUGAGAGCAAGAGCCCUGAGAUGGAUUCUGAGACAUGAAUCCAGGCCCUACGGGGUGCAGCAGGCGCGAAAACUUUACACUGCGGGAAACCGCGAUAAGGGGACCCCGAGUGCCAGCACCUAGUGCUGGCUGUCCAGCUGUUCAAAUAACAGUUGUUAGCAAGGGCCGGGCAAGACCGGUGCCAGCCGCCGCGGUAACACCGGCGGCCCGAGUGGUAGCCGUUAUUAUUGGGUUUAAAGGGUCCGUAGCCGGCCUAUUAAGUCUCUUGGGAAAUCUGGCGACUCAAUCGUCAGGCGUUCAAGAGAUACUGGUAGGCUUGGGACCGGGAGAGGUGGGAGGUACUCCAGGGGUAGGGGUGAAAUCUCGUAAUCCUUGGGGGACCACCGAUGGCGAAGGCAUCCCACCAGAACGGGUCCGACGGUGAGGGACGAAAGCUGGGGGCACGAACCGGAUUAGAUACCCGGGUAGUCCCAGCCGUAAACGAUGCUCGCUAGGUGUCAGGUGCGGUGCGACCGCAUCUGGUGCCGCAGUGAAAACUUGAAGCGAGUCACCUGGGAAGUACGGUCGCAAGGCUGAAACUUAAAGGAAUUGGCGGGGGAGCACUACAACGGGUGGAGCCUGCGGUUCAAUUGGAGUCAACGCCGGG
Molecule: ribosomal RNA, 916 nt
Filed under: archaeon enrichment culture clone EAr2
Lineage: Archaea
Description: bacterial SSU rRNA
Rfam family: Archaeal small subunit ribosomal RNA
Source: RNAcentral